Molecule: long non-coding RNA, 499 nt
Filed under: Marmota monax (woodchuck)
Lineage: Eukaryota; Metazoa; Chordata; Mammalia; Rodentia; Sciuridae
Source: RNAcentral
AUUCUUCACAAAAUUCUGCUGAUUUAAUUGGUACUGCUACGGAAAAGAAAACGAAACUAAAAACGAUGAUUGAUGAUCGCUCCGUUUCGGAGCAAUUCAAACUUGUUAUGGAGGAGGUUUUGGGACGUCUUAAUAAAUUAGAAGCUAAAAUGGACCCUAAGCCUUUAUCGGGAACCAGGCCCUCUGCCCCUCCGGCCACCAAUCCUUUUUUGGCAGCUUCUUUAAAGGCUGUCCAGGAAAUGGACUCAGAACCUUCUGACGAUGAGGACGAAACUCCUUUCUUUGCUUUUCCUAUAAUCAGGCCUGAUCCAGUUAAUGGAAUGGCACAUCCACCUCGGUAUGAGGGGAUUGAUAUUGAUCAUAUUAGCAGAUUAAAAAAGGCAGUGACAAUGUACAGACCUCAAUCUCAUUAUGUAAAAGCAUUGCUUAAUGCUUUUGCUACUCAUUACAAUAAUUUUGCUCCUGAGGAUUGGAAGAUUGUGAGCCAUGCUCUUCUACA